GCCUGUGCAAACCCCAAUUAAACAAAGAGGUACAAAUCUCGACCUCAUAAAUAGAAAGCGAUUUCAGGUUGGAGGGGAAACCUUCUUCUGGAAAGGAGACAAUGCUUGGGCAAUAUUUUAGAGUCAAUUCUUCAAGACAUGUGAGAUUGUGCAUGUUAUGAGGAAGGGUCUUGAGUUUCUCACAGAAUUCAACUCUAAGUUUUCUCAGAUGGGCAAUAGGCAAUCCUCCCUGAGGGAAAUAAACAAGACUUGGACAAUUCUUUACAAUCAAUUCCUGAAGAGAUGUGAGAUUGUGCAUGGCAUUGGGCAGAGCUGAAAGAGCUCUGCAAUCAGAGAUAUGGACCUCCCGCAAACUAUUGGCUGGAAACCCUCCUUCAGGAAAUGAAAGAAGACUUGCACACCCAAUAAUUUCAAUCCAAUGAAGAUGGAUGAGAUUGUGCAGGCCAUUGGGUAUGGACUUGAGAUUUUCACAGUACCAUAUCUCAAUAUGUUCAAGAGAUGCAUCAUUCUGAAACCUAUCUGCAACUGAUUCCAGCUUUGGACAAUUAAUAAUCUCAAGGUGCUUUAGCAUAGAAGGUAGCUCGCCUCUUGGUGAAAAUGCCAUGAGAGAUGGACAACUUCCGAUGCUAACACGUUGAAGCAUGGCAGGUAACUCACCUCCUGAUGAUAGGAACUUCAAAGAUGGACAGUCCCAAAUAUAAAGGUGUUCAAGAAGAGAUGUGGUGUUACAACUGUAGUUAAAAUUCUUCUCCUGCAUCAUUGAAGAAGAUGUGGAAUAACUAUCACCCUCAUCUAACAAGCACUGCAAAUUCUUACAAUGUUCUAUCUCCAGCCUUUUUAACGUUUGUGGUAGCUGGCCUCUGGCAAAGGUUAUCAGAGAACUACACUCUUCAAUUCGCAAUUGUUCAAGAAGCGUGUUAUUUUUCUCCAUAGCCUUAAAAAAAGAUACCAAAGAAUUGCAAUUUCUAAUCCAUACUACUUUCAGCAAGGGCGGAAAACUAGUAUCUGGUACGAAAUCAAGUCUGGGACAAUUCACGAUAUAUAGCUCUCUAAGAAACUUGAAGCUAUGCAGUAGUUUUGGUAACUUCUCAAGCCUUUCACAGUCCAUUAAUUUUAGAGACUCCAGUAAGCAAGUUAAUCCCUCAUCCAGUUGAUCUUCAAUCUCAGCCACCAAGGAGAAAAGUUGAGGACAGCUCUCAAUGACCAAAUGGUGAAGAGAAGUGAAUUGUUGCAGUGGUCUCGACUCAUUCUGACAUAAAAAUCUCAGCUCUUGACAACCAACAAUCUUCAAAUCCUUCACUUUUGUUAACGCUAGAGCAAGCCCCAAUUCUAGAUUUGUCAAAUUGGAAAUUUUUGAAAGAACCAAGGAGUUAAGCGAGCUAAUUUCUGCUGCACCUCUAUGCACUACAUUUUUGCAUGCUUCAAUUUCUAAUUUGCAGAGCAAUGGAAGGCUAGGAAUUGAAACAACCAAUUGCUCACAUUUGGAAAUUGCUAGUUUUUCCAAUGAUGGAAGACAACUGGGCAACUCUCUUGACAGUUUGCAACAGGUUUUUAUAGAAAGCUCACGCAAACAAGGAAAUUCUUCAUAACCAGCUCCACAAGGAAUCCAUUCCUCCCACUCAUGCAUCUCCUCAAGUUGUAAACAUUCAAGCGAUGGAAAAGGUUUUAAGCAAGCCUCCCCAUAAAACUCAGGACCCACUAUCUUAAUACUAGACAUUCCAACCAUAGCAAGAUCCUUGAGAGAGCCUAGUAACCCAAGUGGAGGCAGGGAUGUACAUCUCUUACAAUUCUCUAACCUUAGGACAGCCAUGUCAGAGAAUGAAGGUUGUCCUACCCAUGCUGGAAAUGUCACACCACCAUAGCACCUAAUUGUUAGCUCUUUCAGCUUGUUAUGAGGUUGUAGCAUGUCUAAUACAUCUCUUUCCACUCGUUCAUUUCGUGAAUCAUCAAAUUCAGAAGCCCAGUUCAGCUUUAACACAUCUAAACGCUGCUUACUGAUUAAAUUUGCCUCACUUGCAUGCUGAAUAUCAGUCACAUUCUCCAACCUAGAAAUGCAUAAUGCCCCACACAGAAAAUUCAAGUUCAUCAACUCUCUUAUGCCAGCUCCAUUAUUUUUGCCCACAUGAUAAUCUGACAAUGUUCGUAGACAUUUCAAUUCAUUCAUUCCCAAUGGCAUAUCUCUUAUUGAAAUUGCAUUUGUCAAAUUAAGAUGACGCAAGCUGAUAAAACUUCCUAUUUGUCUAGGCAACUUCUCUAGAUUGAAACAACCUACUAACAACAAUGUCUGCAAGUUGCAUAGAGCAACUAUUGAUUCUGGUAAACUUCUAAUUUUGGUGUGAGAAAGGUUAAGGGACCUUAGAUGCUUUAGAUCACCGAUUGACUUCGCUAGCUCACUGAUGUUAUACCCACUUAAAGAUAAAACCCUUAAGCAUUUCAGCUUUGGCAACAGAUCAAACAGAACAUUAUAAGUUAACCAGCAUCCUUGAUAUCCUAGUGGAAGGAAGGUCCUUAACCCCUUCGCUUCAUAGAAGGCCGUAAAUUUUUGGAUGUUGUCAAAAUUGUGGUGAAUGUAAGAUGAAUGGCGGACUUUCUUGAAAACUCUAGAUUGCUGAUAACCCUCCAAUUCAUCCUCCAACCUAAAACAUGUUUCUCCAGCAACCCACUGAGCUAGAUCAUUAAUAAGGCCAUGCAUUAAAAACCGAGAUUUAUUGCUAACUGAUACCUGAAAAAUUGACCUCGAUAAUAGCUCACGAAAGUACUCACUACCCAAAUCUUCCAUGUGCAUAGUAAUUUUCUCUUGUGGUGGUACAAUCAAACCUUCUGCCAUCCAUAG
Molecule: unclassified non-coding RNA, 2833 nt
Filed under: Hevea brasiliensis (rubber tree)
Lineage: Eukaryota; Viridiplantae; Streptophyta; Magnoliopsida; Malpighiales; Euphorbiaceae
Source: RNAcentral